Molecule: long non-coding RNA, 1091 nt
Organism: Panthera uncia (snow leopard)
Lineage: Eukaryota; Metazoa; Chordata; Mammalia; Carnivora; Felidae
Exons: 2
Source: RefSeq, a predicted model, not a curated record
GAUCCAGGAGGGGGUCUUUCUGGCGGCGGGAAUGGCAGGAGCAAACCCUGGGAGGCUGCAAAGAACCAGCUCAGAAGCAAGACGAGGAGACUCCUCUUUCUUGGGCUUCCUUCUCUUUACCUUGAAGAUGGGGAGAACAAUCCGACGAUCCUACAGAACUAGAACUUACGCCACAGGAUCACUGAAAGAAUUAAAUGAUACACGGAAAGCUCUUACGUGCAUGGUAUACAGUAGGCGCUCACUGCAUGUGGCACGUCUGUCGUUCCUUCCCCCUGCAAACAGACGUACGUUCUGCGCAUUGGCCUACAGCUUGCUUUUUUCCCCUAGAGUAACGUAUAGUAUUAGUAACCGGUAUUUAUUGAGCGCUUACUGUAUGCCAGGCCCUGUGCUAUGCACUUUACAUUUACAUCGAGGAGGAAGAUACAGUUAUCAUCCGUGUAUAUUUCAAGGGGAUUCGUCCUUUCCUUUUGUCAGCUGUGUGAUAAUCUCCUGGGAGGGUCUCUCCCCUGUCAAUAGAGAUUUAGGUUGUUUCCCAUGUUUUGUCUUUAUUUUUUUUAAUUAAGUUUAUUUAUUUAUUUUGAGAGAGAGAGGGAGAGAGAGAGAGAGAGAGAGAGAGGCAGGAAAGAGCAGAGAGAAAGGGAGGGAGAGAGAAUCCCAAGCAGGCUCCACACUGUCAGCACGGAGCCCGAUGUGGGGCUUGAACUCAUGAACCGUGAGACAAUGACCCAAGCCCAGAUCAAGAGUCGGUCGCUUAACUGACUGAGUCACCCAGGCGCCCGUGUCUUUAUUUUUUAAAUUCAAUGUUAUUAGCGGCGCCUGGGUGGCUCAGUCGGUUGAGCGGCCACUUUGGCUCAGGUCAUGAUCUCACGGUCCGUGAGUUCGAGCCCCGCGUCGGGCUCUGUGCUGACAGCUCAGAGCCUGGAGCCUACUUCUGAUUCUGUGUUUCCCUCUCUCUGACCCUCCCCCGUUCAUACUCUGUCCUCUCUCUGUCUCCAAAAUAAAUAAACGUUAAAAAAUUAAAAAAAAAAUAAAAUAAAUUCAAUGUUAUUAAAAAAAAUUAUUUAGGGGCGCCUGGGUGGCUCGGUCGGUUG